GCAUGGUCUUAGCUUGCUAAGACUGAUGGCGACCGGCGCACGGGUGAGUAACACGUAUCCAACCUGCCGUCUACUCUUGGACAGCCUUCUGAAAGGAAGAUUAAUACAAGAUGGCAUCAUGAGUCCGCAUGUUCACAUGAUUAAAGGUAUUCCGGUAGACGAUGGGGAUGCGUUCCAUUAGAUAGUAGGCGGGGUAACGGCCCACCUAGUCUUCGAUGGAUAGGGGUUCUGAGAGGAAGGUCCCCCACAUUGGAACUGAGACACGGUCCAAACUCCUACGGGAGGCAGCAGUGAGGAAUAUUGGUCAAUGGGCGAGAGCCUGAACCAGCCAAGUAGCGUGAAGGAUGACUGCCCUAUGGGUUGUAAACUUCUUUUAUAAAGGAAUAAAGUCGGGUAUGGAUACCCGUUUGCAUGUACUUUAUGAAUAAGGAUCGGCUAACUCCGUGCCAGCAGCCGCGGUAAUACGGAGGAUCCGAGCGUUAUCCGGAUUUAUUGGGUUUAAAGGGAGCGUAGAUGGAUGUUUAAGUCAGUUGUGAAAGUUUGCGGCUCAACCGUAAAAUUGCAGUUGAUACUGGAUAUCUUGAGUGCAGUUGAGGCAGGCGGAAUUCGUGGUGUAGCGGUGAAAUGCUUAGAUAUCACGAAGAACUCCGAUUGCGAAGGCAGCCUGCUAAGCUGCAACUGACAUUGAGGCUCGAAAGUGUGGGUAUCAAA
RNAcentral lists this ribosomal RNA (711 nucleotides) under uncultured Bacteroidales bacterium. Its description in RNAcentral is "bacterial SSU rRNA". It matches the Rfam family "Bacterial small subunit ribosomal RNA", at positions 69 to 772 of the family's 1533-position model. The record is from RNAcentral. Lineage: Bacteria; Pseudomonadati; Bacteroidota; Bacteroidia; Bacteroidales.